UUUUUUUUUUUUGGCGCACCAAAAAUAUUCUCGUCGCUUUAUAAUAUUACUAUUGAACCACUGUACUCACAUGAACUGAUUUUAAUAUGUUUUUAGUACCUUUAUGGAUCUUGAGAGAGGAAAUGUCAUUGCUCCCUAUAUAGGCCUCACGGAGCCAUCGGAUUUAAACCAAAAUAUCUCAAUUUGCGUUCCGAAGAUUAACGAAGGUCUUACGGGUGUGGAACGGCAUGAGCGUGAGUAAUAAAUGACAGAAUUUUCAUUUUUGGGUGAACUAACCCUUUAAGGACUCUUAGAGUAAAGAGUUAAAGUUCUGGUGUUGAAUUUCAAUGGAUUAGGCUAGUGUAAACAGCACCCAACCCCAUCAACACUGUUGCUAUGUUCGAAAUCGCCCCCUAUACACUCAUUCACUGUUCCCUACGUUACUCCACUAAUAUAGUCCACUUGAAGGAGUAAAUUAAACGAGUGCGUGAAUUCGGACACUGAGUGCGCCGGAAGGGCUGCCGAUUUCGCAUAGUUUGUGCUGCUGUGCUGUUUAAUAAUCUUUUGAAAUGUAGCAAACUGGCAGCUCCAGUAGUAAUGCAUAUUUAUGUUGAACUAGCAUGUUCAAACCUUUUAAACGAUUUAAUGAUCAAUUAAAAAGGAAUUUAUACCUGUAUGAUAAUGAUGGACCAGUGCGGUUUGGAAAAUGAAUGGAUGAUUGAUUCAGCUGCGGGCGCCAUCUCCUGGCGAGACGCGGGAAUUCAUUCAGCGCGCGACUCUCACACUGCUUUAUUUGUAUUCUCUAGCGGUUGAGCGUGCAUCGGUUGUACACUCGUUAUUGCUGUACAUUGUGGGAUUGAAUGAGGUCACUGAAAAUCGUCCACUAUGGUUUCGGACACCACUACAAAUGGCUGUCCCCUCAAAUAGUGCCCUAUUUAAGGGUAUAGGGGGCGAUUUCGGACACAGCCAAUGAGUGGAAUUAGUUACAUCCGGGACAUUUACGUGCUGUGCGGGCCUUUUCCACAGACGCCAUUUUCUUUGACUCGCGAUGAGGUGCAUACGAGCACGGAAAACACAAAGUAAGUGUUUUAUCCGAUUUACGAUAUGUAUUUUAUAACAUCAUAUAAUGAUAUUCAUGUGCUGUGUGUGUGCGCAUGUGCCUAAACUUUUCUCAUAGACAUUUUCUUUAAAUCGCGGAGUGGUGCAGACGAGGUGGCUGGCUUUUAACAGGGAAAACUCAAAAAGAUGAGUUAUGACAGUCAUAACCAAAUAUUACAACAAGAAGCACUAUAGACGCAGAGAAAAAGAGCGUGAGUUACUGAAAAUGUCCUUAGCCCAGUGAGGGCAGCUGAAAUGUGCUGAUGUAAGGGGUCACAUGACAGGAAGGUCCAAUCAUCAAGGAGUCUCAAGGAGCACUCCUACUGCAAUAUUGAGAGAGAUGCAUCCAGCAGCUUGCAGAAAUAGGGGUGUUAGACCUGCAGAACUGAAGCACAUCUCUGUUGGACUGAACCUCACUGCAGCUGUUGUGAGCUGAUACUCCUGCUUUGAGUGAAUCCUGCUGCUCUCUUACAACAUAAACCGCACAAACACAAGCAAUCUGAAAUGCUUUACAGAUGACUGUUGCACCACUGAAAUUUUACUGCACAGUAUGGACAUGUUACUUCAUAAUUAUAUGAGAAAAUAUUUUUCUUCAUGGUUUUAGGCACAAGAAUAACUUAUUUUAGCUUCAUUCGUGUACAUAAAAGAUUCAGAAUCUGGCAGAAGCAGAACUGAACUAUAAAAGAAAAACUGGAGACAGAAGUCUAAAUUCUAUUAUUUUGGUUAUGUAAAUCUCCUAAUCA
Long non-coding RNA from Ctenopharyngodon idella (grass carp), 1820 nucleotides. RefSeq lists it as uncharacterized. The record is from RefSeq and is a predicted model, not a curated record. Lineage: Eukaryota; Metazoa; Chordata; Actinopteri; Cypriniformes; Xenocyprididae. The transcript is spliced from 4 exons.